UCUCUCUCUCUCUCUCUCUCUCUUCUUUCACUUCCUUGGCAAGCAAGGCAGGGAAAGGUCUCCGAGGAGCUCCGACUGACUUUUUUACUCAAACCCCAGAAGUGUCGACUAGAGAAGAGGAGGAUCAAGCCUCUAGUGGACAGUUAUGAUCCAUCUCUCAAAAAGCUGUGAUCUUUUUUGCUGUUCCAAUUGACAAGCAUUAGCAAAGUAAAGCCAUUUAGGCAGUCAAACAAAAUGGAUCUUCCAGAGAUGUGGGGAAAAAGAAGCUUACUCUCCGAAGUUGGAAAGAGAAUUGAAGACCCUAUUUGUGGCUGCAGGAAAGGAAGGGAGCCCAGCAAGGAAACUACCAGCAGAUGAAGCUGAUCCCAGCUAUGUCAACAUAAGUUAAGGUCUGGGAGAUCCCACCAAGCUGGAAAGGUGUCAAGUAAGGCCCUGCUGACAAAUUGUGCAUCUGUCAUCCAAGGACCAACCCAGCUGAGUCUGGAAAGCUUCAUCACCAGGAGGCUGGAUACCAGUGCUCUUCUCAGCAGAACAGAAACAAUGUUCCCAGGGAGAACUCCUACCAUACUAUAAAGAGUAAAUUAG
This is a non-coding RNA of Phascolarctos cinereus (koala), 585 nucleotides long. The record is from RefSeq and is a predicted model, not a curated record. Lineage: Eukaryota; Metazoa; Chordata; Mammalia; Diprotodontia; Phascolarctidae.